Cydia splendana is the source of this 414-nucleotide long non-coding RNA. RefSeq lists it as uncharacterized. The transcript has 3 exons. NCBI's taxonomy places the organism in Eukaryota, Metazoa, Arthropoda, Insecta, Lepidoptera, Tortricidae. The record is from RefSeq and is a predicted model, not a curated record.
GGAGAAAUGGCAUCGCUCCGCAGUAACAAUAUGCCUGCCUUCAAUGUACUUCUAUAGACUGUCUCCAGUCAUGACAGGCUACCAAGAACCUCUGACUUCAAUACUUCAACACUCCUGUUUGAUGGCCGUAUCUCAAGAAUUUGCUGCUAAGGUCGCUCUAGUCUUCAAUGGAUACAAGAAAGAAAUGUUAGAUAUCAAAGACGCAAGAAGAUGGAUCAUUAGUAGUGAUGACAAACAUCUUAAGCUGAGGAAUAUGAAAGUAAAUCCCUAAUUACGGCGCGCAGAGAACGAGUAAAAAAAUGUAGUACCAAACUCGUCAAGAGAUGGCGCCACCUCCGAGAUAGAACGCGCCAACGAUGUGUCAACGUAGAAUCUUGAUAUCCGAGAUGCAAAUUACUAAUCGUUUUUAAAUGU